Long non-coding RNA from Orcinus orca (killer whale), 4124 nucleotides. RefSeq lists it as uncharacterized. Lineage: Eukaryota; Metazoa; Chordata; Mammalia; Artiodactyla; Delphinidae. The record is from RefSeq and is a predicted model, not a curated record. The transcript has 4 exons.
AAAAUCAAACAGAAACCGGGCUUUUGUAUGGUUAGGGGCAUAAGCAGUAGGGAAAGUUGGUCAGAUGAGAGGGAGUAAACCACGGUGUGACCAGCUGGUUUCAGAAGAAAUGUGUCUCUGUGGCCCACCAAUUUGGGGGAUAAACUGAAAAGCAUGUUCUGUGUUUUAGAAUUUGCUUGGAUUUGGGGACAAGUUCAGGGUCCUGUGUGGAGGAGAGAAGUCGAACUCCAGUUUGUUAAAGACAAAGCAGAGGGUUCCCUUUGACUAGGAAGCAGACAUCAGGCCGAAAUAAGUCCAAUAUGUGAACGGGACCCUCUCCAGAGCACAGGCUCCGGAUAAGCAGGCUCAGCGUCCAUGGCUCACGGGCCCAGCGGCUCCGCGAAAUGUGGGAUAUUCCCGGACCAGGGCACGAACCCAUGUGCCCUGCAUCGGCAGGCGGACUCUCAACCACUGUGCCACCAGGGAAGCCCGCUUAAGACAACUUUUAAUGAUUUUAUAACAAUAUCACAGAGUGUAUGGUUAAAAACUGAAAUACUAAUUUUUAAAACUGACUGAAAAAUGAAUACAAUUGGUCUUAAAGAUCAGGGAGUGUUCCACUGAAGGAGGUGGGAGGAGGAAGACCAUUUAGGGUUUGGGUAGAUAAGUGAUGGAGGGAGUUUCAGCAUUAGACUGAGCUAGAGCAAAGGCAGGGAAGCCCAGAAGUCAACUCAGUUUUAGGAGAUGGUGGGAAGCAGAGCCAUUCGAGUUAAGGUAUCAUGCUUGAAAAUUUUGGGCAUACGUCUGGAAAAUUAGAUCAAUGGAAAAUAAGGCCAGUGCUCCUUGAAUUUCCCAGUGAAGAAUAUGAAAUUUACCCAAGAGAUAAUAUGGAGCAAUAAGAGUUCUGAGCACAGGAAAUCCAUGAAUAGUGUGGUAUUUUUUAACUUAAUUUUUCUGGAAAUUAUGUUCAUAAUGAAUCCAAGUUCAGAGAUAGUAGAAGCAGGGAGAGCAAACGGGAGGCUACUGUAUGAAGCCAGGUAGACAAUGAUUUAUACUAAAAUGGUAGUUGUUGAACUAAAAAAGAAAAAAAAUAGAUAUGUGAGGAAAUGGUGAGAUUUCUGACAGAAUUUAUUUAUACAAACAUAAUUUUAAGCUAAACAAUUCUUUUAAAUUAGAUAAGAAUAAGAAGUCCUAUAAAACCUUUACAAUUUCAGUUUUCUUUAAGUGUUCUUUACAUGCACAUACCUUUUCUUCAUUCAACAAAGUAUUUAUUGAGUGCAUAAUAUAGGCAUUGUUCUAGGAGCUUGGGAUUCAGUGGUGAACAAAGUUCACCAUGAGUUCAAACAAAGAUUGAACUCAUGAAUUUUACAUUCUAGAUGGAGGACAAAGGAUAUAAACAAUAAACAUAAUUAAUAAGUAAAUUAUCCACUAUGUUUGAAAGAGGAUAACAUAUGGAAACAAGAAAAAAGUAGAACAGGAUAGUAGGGAUUAAGGGUGAUAGGCUGAGGACAAGUUGCAGUGCAAAAUAGAGUGGUCAGCAUAGACCUCACAGAGAAGGUGACAUUGAGCAGAGAGUUAAGGAGGAAAGAGAGCUGGUCCCACAGAUAUUUAGGGGAAGAAUGUUCCAGAAAGAACAAACAACUAGUACAAAGUCCCUUAGCCUCCCUGGCACGUUGGAAGAGGCCAGCAUGGCUAGAGAUUUAAGAUAUUGUUUUUAAAGUCUGAUGGAAACUUAUAGCAAAUCACAUUAAUUCAUAUUUAUGCAACUCUUUGAGGCUUAACCAUAUUUGUACUGUUUAAGUCUUUUGGGGAAAAUAUUAUGUAUUUUUGGAUAUGGAGAACAGUCCUCUUCACACUUGAUGUCAGCCAGUAUUAUUAUUUUUUAUUAAUAUCAUUGAUUUUUGUAUGGAGAUUUCAUUUCUAUAUCUUUAUGGGAAGUUUUUUUUGAACUCCUUUGCCUGUUUUUUAGUUUAUGCUGCCACUAUAUUUCAGAAAGCGUUUCAGGCACUUACAAGAAUACAUAAAAUAUGACCCCGAAAAGGGAGCAGAAACAAAGUGCAGUGAGAUAUAAGGCUUAACAUGCACAUCAUAAUAUCCAUGUACCACAAAUUUUUCCCAAAGCUUACUAGUUUACAGUAAAAAAAGAAAAAAAAUCUUAUAGUUGAAUUGAUAGUAUCUAUUAGAUUAAAAAAAAAACAAAACUAGGAUAUAGGAAAAGUAUCACUGUUCUUUGUAAUAAGACCAGCCUGGAUUUUUCCUGAGGGUCCUCAAAAAAGAAUAUGAUGUGAUGAAAUAACAUUUUUUACAACAUCAUUGCCAAAGGUAUGAAUAGUGAGGAAACAAUGUUUCAUGGGAAAGGCAGUUUAAUUCAAGACUUCAAUUGAUUAUCUUGAGCACCUCUGGGAAAGGCAUGGGAUACACAUGAAAUAGUAUUUGUUUUAGCAAAAAGGAAUUUCAUUUUCUCACUUAGGAUGUCACAUAACCACAUAUUUACAAACUCUACAAAUUACAUCUUUGUUCCUUGUUCAGCACUGAAUUCAAACCAGGGAAACUUGGACGGGAUUCUCAUUUUUGUUACACAUCUUUAUAAAAAUGCUAAAGAAUAAGAGACUGGAACACUUUGUCUGGUGCUGGCAAGCUGCUGAGCCUGAGGACCACAGAGCCUAGAAGCCACAAUAUCACAACCAAUGUCAGGGUGGAAGGCUUAAUUGUCCCGUAGUCCAGUUUUGCCAAACUUGUUAAAUUUAGGGUUGUGGGAAACACUAAAUAUCAUUUGUAUAUGCAUCCAGGAAGGAACAACUUCUGAAUAACCAGCAAAUAAUAUCGGUAGCUGUAGAGCUGCUGCAAAGCAACAUUAUGAUAAAAAUCACAAAUUAAAAUACGCUACCUACUGAUAAUGCUCUUAAAAGUUGUUUUGAAAUAGUGGAAAAAUUUUUCAAUGGUAUUAUAGUAUGCAUUUGAUGUGGCGCCCAUUACAUAUCAUGAUUUAUAAUGCUUGCCUCACUCUCAUCUCUUAAUUAUAUGUCAUGUAUUAGUUAUAUGAAAAUCAGUGAAAAUCUCUACUCACUGACCACUGCUCACUGAGGACACAGAUAAUCACUUCAGUAUGUAAGGUAAUACUGAAAGAAGAAAUGGGAAAUUCUGAUGAACCUACUUUCAAGUGGGGAAACGACAAUACACAAAUCAAUUGGUUCUUACAGAUCUUAGAAAGAAGCAGAGAUUAAAGAUUUUUCUGCAGCUAUUCUGGGAACACGUAAAUGAAGUAUUUUCUCACCUUCAACUCUGCCAUCCAAAAAUAUACUAUGGAACAGCAUAAACAUCCAAAGAUUUUGUUGAUUUGAAAUCGAAAAUAGAAGAGGAAUCACAUUCAAUGGCACCUCGACUGAUAUAGUUCUAAAUUCAAUAAAUUCUUUUUCAGAUAUCAGUUCAGGACCUGAACUAACAGUCUUUUGCCCUAGAUUAAUAAUGUGUACAAAAGCGAAAAAUAAAUCCUUGCAACAAAUUUUACACUUUGCCAGAGCUUUCUGAUUCAAUUAACUUGUUACCACAAUAUGUUAAAAGGUGGAGGGAGGGGAAGUGUUUAUCCUAAGUGAUUAAGAUGAGUUAGGAGAGGGCAAGGAGGAGCCCUCCCAUACUUAGAGCCACAUCUCAUUUUAAUUUUCUUUCACUGGUUAUAAGCAUGAUGCGAAGAUUUUUAGUGGCCUUAAAAUAUUCCAGGAUAGCCAUUAGUGAAUAUGUUUAGAUUUGGGGAUUUCCUAUAGGGGACGUCAUAGUCUUUGGAGACAGAUGUGAUGUGAGCUCCAACUCUUCUGCUUAUGACCUGUGUGAUCUUGACAAGUGACUUCAUCUUAUUUUUUAUAGAUAUAAUGGAGAUAAUACACGACUCAUACAGUUACUAAAAGGAUUAAGUUAAAUGUCCUGUGCUGAUAACAGUGUUUUUUAACAUAAAUAUAUGAGGCAAAUCAAUUAGAUAAUAUAUAACGUUUGUUGCUUUGGAUUGUUUAAAGACAUAUGGAACAUUUGUAAAUGUAAUAUUUACACUCAUAAUGGAUCAUUUGUAAAGUGUAAUAAGACACUAUGUAAGCCUUCAAUAUUUACUGAUGCAAAAUCACUAUUAUAUUUACUUGUAUAUUAUCAUAUCAAAAUAA